AUUGAACGCUGGCGGCAUGCCUUACACAUGCAAGUCGAGCGGUAACAGGUUAAGCUGACGAGUGGCGAACGGGUGAGUAAUGUAUCGGAACGUGCCCAGUCGUGGGGGAUAACUGCUCGCAAGAGCAGCUAAUACCGCAUACGACCUGAGGGUGAAAGCGGGGGAUCGCAAGACCUCGCGCGAUUGGAGCGGCCGAUAUCAGAUUAGGUAGUUGGUGGGGUAAAGGCUCACCAAGCCGACGAUCUGUAGCUGGUCUGAGAGGACGACCAGCCACACUGGGACUGAGACACGGCCCAGACUCCUACGGGAGGCAGCAGUGGGGAAUUUUGGACAAUGGGCGCAAGCCUGAUCCAGCCAUGCCGCGUGCGGGAAGAAGGCCUUCGGGUUGUAAACCGCUUUCGUCAGGGAAGAAAAGGUUCUGGCUAAUACCUGGGACUCAUGACGGUACCUGAAGAAUAAGCACCGGCUAACUACGUG
This 477-nucleotide ribosomal RNA is filed under the name uncultured bacterium. RNAcentral's name for it is "partial 16S ribosomal RNA". It matches the Rfam family "Bacterial small subunit ribosomal RNA", at positions 30 to 507 of the family's 1533-position model. The record is from RNAcentral.